Molecule: transfer RNA, 82 nt
Filed under: Minisyncoccota bacterium
Lineage: Bacteria; Bacillati; Minisyncoccota
Description: tRNA-Leu
Rfam family: tRNA
About the family: Transfer RNA (tRNA) molecules are approximately 80 nucleotides in length. Their secondary structure includes four short double-helical elements and three loops (D, anti-codon, and T loops). Further hydrogen bonds mediate the characteristic L-shaped molecular structure. tRNAs have two regions of fundamental functional importance: the anti-codon, which is responsible for specific mRNA codon recognition, and the 3' end, to which the tRNAs corresponding amino acid is attached (by aminoacyl-tRNA synthetases). tRNAs cope with the degeneracy of the genetic code in two manners: having more than one tRNA (with a specific anti-codon) for a particular amino acid; and 'wobble' base-pairing, i.e. permitting non-standard base-pairing at the 3rd anti-codon position.
Source: RNAcentral
GCCCGGGUGUUGAAAUUGGUAGACAAGCUACCUUGAGGUGGUAGUGCCGAAAGGCGUGCUGGUUCAAGUCCAGUCUCGGGCA